CGAAAGCCUGAUCCGAGCAAUGCCGCGUGAGUGAAGAAGGCUUUCGGAUCGUAAAGACUCUUGUUGAUAGGAGAAGAACAGUUACGUUAGUAUACUGAUCAGUACCCCUGACGUGUAUCCUAUACCAGAGAAGCCCACGGCUAACUACGUGCCAGCAGCCGCGGUAAUACGUAGGGUGGCAAGCGUUGACCGGAUUUAUUGGGCGUAAAGCGAGCGUAGGCGGUUUGUUAAGUCUGAUGUGAAAGCCCCCGGCUCAACCGGGGAGGGUCAUUUGAAACUGGUAGACUUGAGUGUAGUAGAGGAGAGUGGAAUUCCAUGUGUAGCGGUGAAAUGCGUAGAUAUAUGGAGGAACACCAGUGGCGAAGGCGGCUCUCUGGUCCGUAACUGACGCUGAGGCUCGAAAGCGUGGGGAGCAAACAGGAUUAGAUACCCUGGUAGUCCACGCCGUAAACGAUGUGUGCUAAGUGUUGGAGGGUUUCCGCCCUUCAGUGUUGCAGCAAACGCAUUAAGCACUCCGCCUGGGGAGUACGACCGCAAGGUUGAAACUCAAAGGAAUUGACGGGGGCCCGCACAAGCGGUGGAGCAUGUGGUUUAAUUCGAAGCAACGCGAAGAACCUUACCAGGUCUUGACAUCCUUUGACCACUCUAGAGAUAGAGCUUUCCCUUCGGGGACAAAGUCACAGGUGGUGCAUGGUUGUCGUCAGCUCGUGUCGUGAGAUGUUGGGUUAAGUCCCGCAACGAGCGCAACCCUUAUUGUUAGUUGCCAUCAUUUAGUUGGGCACUCUAAGGAGACUGCCGGUGACAAACCGGAGGAAGGUGGGGAUGACGUCAAAUCAUCAUGCCCCUUAUGACCUGGGCUACACACGUGCUACAAUGGCAAGUACAACGAGUCGCUAGCCCGCGAGGUCAUGCAAAUCUCUUAAAGCUUCUCUCAGUUCGGAUUGCAGGUCUGCAACUCGCCUGCAUGAAGGCUCGGAAUCGCUAGUAUCGCGAUCAGCAACGCG
This 1004-nucleotide ribosomal RNA is filed under the name Enterococcus faecalis. Its description in RNAcentral is "bacterial SSU rRNA". It matches the Rfam family "Bacterial small subunit ribosomal RNA", at positions 376 to 1361 of the family's 1533-position model. The record is from RNAcentral. Lineage: Bacteria; Bacillati; Bacillota; Bacilli; Lactobacillales; Enterococcaceae.